Molecule: transfer RNA, 88 nt
Organism: Cryptococcus amylolentus CBS 6039
Lineage: Eukaryota; Fungi; Basidiomycota; Tremellomycetes; Tremellales; Cryptococcaceae
Rfam family: tRNA
About the family: Transfer RNA (tRNA) molecules are approximately 80 nucleotides in length.
Source: Rfam
GUGGGAGUAGCUCAGUGGUAGAGUAGUAGAUUGCAAUUGUCUAAUCGCAAAUAUCUAUUGGUCCUGGGAUCAACCCCCAGUUCCCACU